AUUUAAAUAGUUUAUAUAAAAUAUUGAUUUGUGGUAUCAAAGAAAAUUGAAUUAGUUUUUAAAUU
RNAcentral lists this transfer RNA (65 nucleotides) under Neodiprion sertifer (European pine sawfly). RNAcentral's name for it is "tRNA-His". Lineage: Eukaryota; Metazoa; Arthropoda; Insecta; Hymenoptera; Diprionidae. The record is from RNAcentral.